CCUACGGGAGGCAGCAGUAGGGAAUAUUGCUCAAUGGCGGAAGCCCUGAAGCAGCAACGCCGCGUGGAGGAUGAAGGUUUUCGGAUUGUAAACUCCUUUUGUUAGAGAAGAUAAUGACGGUAUCUAACGAAUAAGCACAGGCUAACUCCAGGCCACCAGCCGCGGUAAUAAGGAGGGAGCAAACGUUACUCGGAAUCUAGGGGCGUAAAGAGCGUGGAGGCGGGAUAGCAAGUCAGAUGUGAAAUCCUAUGGCUUAACCAUAGAAGUGCAUUUGAAACUGUUAUUCUAGAGUAUGGGAGAGGUAGGUGGAAUGCUUGGUGUAGGGGUAAAAUCCGUAGAGAUCAAGAGGAAUACUCAUUGCGAAGGCGACCUGCUAGAACAUAACUGACGCUGAUGCGCGAAAGCGUGGGGAGCAAACAGGAUUAGAUACCCUAGUAGUC
RNAcentral lists this ribosomal RNA (440 nucleotides) under uncultured bacterium. Its description in RNAcentral is "partial 16S ribosomal RNA". It matches the Rfam family "Bacterial small subunit ribosomal RNA", at positions 338 to 795 of the family's 1533-position model. The record is from RNAcentral.